Molecule: long non-coding RNA, 268 nt
Organism: Apis dorsata (giant honeybee)
Lineage: Eukaryota; Metazoa; Arthropoda; Insecta; Hymenoptera; Apidae
Exons: 3
Source: RefSeq, a predicted model, not a curated record
AUUUUUUAUGUAAUUUGAGAAAAAAGAAUUACGCAUUGCUAUAUUUGCCUGAUGCUCGUCUGUAACGACUUUAAAUUUCAUUACAAAUAACUUACCUUUUCUUUUUCCCAUUAUAACAAUAUUUCCAUUCUUCAAAUGUGUAUAUUUUUUUAUCGAAAUAUUGUCGUAGUUCCUUGUCAAGAGCUACACGCGCCGAAAAAAGAUUGAAAUUCAGUUCUGGUACAUGAAAAACAUUACUGAGAUACUUUCGCAUCCACUCUUUUCCAUU